Molecule: non-coding RNA, 83 nt
Organism: Pelobates cultripes (western spadefoot toad)
Lineage: Eukaryota; Metazoa; Chordata; Amphibia; Anura; Pelobatidae
Source: the annotation of a GenBank genome assembly
GUGUGUGUAUAUAAUGCAGUGUGUUUGUGUAGUGUGCAUUAUAUAAACACACUACACAAACACACUGCAUUAUAUACACACAC